GUCUGGGUGGCUCAGUCGGUUGAGCAUCUGACUUCAACUCAGGUCAUGAUCUCACAGUCUGUGGGUUCAAGCCCCACAUCAGGCU
This 85-nucleotide transfer RNA is filed under the name Felis catus (domestic cat). It matches the Rfam family "tRNA". Rfam says of the family: Transfer RNA (tRNA) molecules are approximately 80 nucleotides in length. Their secondary structure includes four short double-helical elements and three loops (D, anti-codon, and T loops). Lineage: Eukaryota; Metazoa; Chordata; Mammalia; Carnivora; Felidae. The record is from Rfam by way of RNAcentral. RNAcentral also lists the same sequence under 1 other name.